GCGCCCGCGGGGUAGGAGACCUGGAGCUGGAGAACCCGCCCGCCAGAGUCGUAGUAGUGGAUGGGGAGUAGCCGUCCCAUUUUCAACACAUGUCUCAUUCUAAAUUGACGUUUUGGUGGGCUGGCCGAAGAAGGAGAAAGACCCGCGGCUCCGACCUCUGACCUCUAACCCCGGACGCACUUUGAUUUCGCCGGCUUGCGCGGAAGGCUGACUCCCUGGGCCGCGGCCUGGCGCGGGAGCCGCCUGUGGGGUGUCCCCGGCGCGGGAGGGUGCUCUGGUUCAGGCCCGCUGCCCAGGUAUGCACAAGUCAAGGCCUUUUCUGCAGACCAAGUAGCCUUCCCUGGAGAGCGCCCCCAGCACCACGGAAACUACCUACAUGCCCCGCGGUGGUCAGCCCGCCUUAUCCCAGCCCCGAGACCCAAAACAAGAAGCAUGGACUGAAUUUGAGGUUUCUGGAUGGUCGUGUGAACCGAGGGGACGGGUACUGGACUGACAAGAAAUGAGCCUUGAAGGUCAAUCUGGGUGACACCCGAGUCUCCUGAUGGAGUUUCACUAUGUUGCCCAGGCUGAUCUGGAACUCCUGACCUCAAGCAAUCCACCUGCCUCAGCCUCCCAAAGUACUGGGAUUACAGGAGGGAGCCACCGUGCCCGGCCUGGUCCUGUGCAUUUUAUAGAUAAGGUAACUGACAAACCUAGCCACAGUCACCCCUUCGCCCUAAAGGAGAACUGGAAUUUGAACCCAGAGCCUUCUUCACCACCAUCUCCGUUGUUUCUGGAAGCACCCUCCAGGCAGGCCAGCCAGCAUCACGGGGCCUCCCCUGGGGCUGGAACGUCUGCAGGAUGCCCCUUUGAGAAAUGCUGUUCCACAGAACCCUGCCUUUCAGGCCUUGGAGACGUGGGCAGGGGAGAAGCAGCGUCCCUCAGAGCCAGGCCUGGCAGUGGUGCUAGCAGGGGCCAAGGCCCAGGGAGCAGGGUCUCCUGUCGGAGGGACCUGGGCAAGCCCCUCCACGCGCCAGCGGGUUUCUCAGCAGGGGAGGUCCACACCACACCGCUUGGGAACCUGGGUGCCUAAACGCAACAGGAGCCAAGGCACAAAUUUAACCAAACACCAAGGUUGCGUGAGGCCCCAUUUCAUGAGCCGGGCUCCAAGGACGUGUCCUUAGGCGGCUCUGGAAGGCCCAGCGCCAGCCCCCGUCCUCUGUUAAAGGGAGCCAGCCCCGCGGCUCCGCCCAGGCAUGGUAGCCUGAGCGCGCCCCCAGGGUAGUAGGGGGCACCUGAGGAGCAGGGUCUGCCCUGGCAUGAGCAGAGCCCAGGAUGGGGUCAGGGUCAGGCCCUGCCAGAGGCUGGAGGGUGCCCAAGGCGAGGCCGGUGAGGCCCAGCUCUACAAAUAAAGUGUUUUAUUUACAGGA
RNAcentral lists this long non-coding RNA (1409 nucleotides) under Homo sapiens (human). RNAcentral's name for it is "non-protein coding ARRDC1-AS1:4". The record is from RNAcentral. Lineage: Eukaryota; Metazoa; Chordata; Mammalia; Primates; Hominidae.